CUGGCUCAGGAUAAACGCUGGCGGCGCACAUAAGACAUGCAAGUCGAACGGACGAGUAGGAUUCUUUAGUUUCUACAAGUUAGUGGCGGACUGGUGAGUAACGCGUGAGCAACCUACCUAUAAAAGGGGAAUAACAGGGAGAAAUCUUUGCUAAUACCGCAUAAGCUGAUAGGAUCGCAUGAUCUAGUCAGAAAAGGAGCAAUUCGAUUAUAGAUGGGCUCGCGUCCGAUUAGCUAGUUGGUGAGAUAACAGCCCACCAAGGCGACGAUCGGUAGCCGGACUGAGAGGUUGAACGGCCACAUUGGGACUGAGAUACGGCCCAGACUCCUACGGGAGGCAGCAGUCGGGAAUAUUGCGCAAUGGAAGGAAACUCUGACGCAGUGACGCCGCGUAUAGGAAGAAGGUUUUCGGAUUGUAAACUAUUGUCGUUAGGGAAGAGAAAGGACGGUACCUAAGGAGGAAGCCCCGGCUAACUAUGUGCCAGCCGCUGC
This 491-nucleotide ribosomal RNA is filed under the name uncultured bacterium. RNAcentral describes it as "bacterial SSU rRNA". It matches the Rfam family "Bacterial small subunit ribosomal RNA", at positions 19 to 518 of the family's 1533-position model. The record is from RNAcentral.